GAUGAAGAACGUAGCGAAAUGCGAUAAGUAAUGUGAAUUGCAGAAUUCAGUGAAUCAUCGAAUCUUUGAACGCACAUUGCGCCCCCUGGCAUUCCGGGGGGCAUGCCUGUUCGAGCGUCAUUACAACCCUCAAGCUCUGCUUGGUAUUGGGCUCUGCUGGGACCGGCAGGCCUUAAAAUCAGUGGCGGCGCCACUCGGCUUCAAGCGUAGUAAUUCUUCUCGCUUCGGAGACCCGGGUGCGUGCUAGCCAGCAACCCCCAACUUUCUUAGGUUGACCUCGGAUCAGGUAGGGAUACCCGCUGAACUUAAGCAUAUCAAUAAGCGGGA
Molecule: unclassified non-coding RNA, 327 nt
Filed under: soil metagenome
Description: partial contains 5.8S ribosomal RNA, internal transcribed spacer 2, and large subunit ribosomal RNA
Rfam family: 5.8S ribosomal RNA (bases 1-120)
Source: RNAcentral